Molecule: long non-coding RNA, 3082 nt
Filed under: Eucalyptus grandis
Lineage: Eukaryota; Viridiplantae; Streptophyta; Magnoliopsida; Myrtales; Myrtaceae
Description: long non-coding RNA (EGRA_LNC004192)
Source: RNAcentral
CAACUUUCUUCCCUGUUUCCCCUUCUUCUUCAUCCCUUCUCUUCCCCUUUCCCUACCACCAAACUCCCCAUCUUCUUUCCCCUGGUUCUUCUUUCCUCCACUUUGUCGCUGCCUCAUGCCAACUCCACAAUCAGUUCACAUGCCCACCUCAGCAACUUCACACACUAACUCCACCCACCAGCAGCUCUCUCCCUUUUGACAGCUACUCCAUCUCUAUCCACCGUGAACACUACUUCAUCACCUCACCACACAGCAGCCCGGCCAACAGCCCCAUGCCCAGCACCACCCCGUCCCAACCUCACAACCGUGCCUCCAGCGACCUCAACCCGCCUCAGCCCUAAGCAAAACCAAACCAACCUUCAAGUAGGACUGAAUCUCAGCCUUUGGCUGAGACUUGUGGGGUUGUUUUCCUCAGUCGUUGAACCUCCGUUGGAGACACAGUUGUCUCGGGUUCUUGCCACCAUCGUGUUGCCAUUGCCAUGAGCCCGCCGACGUCCUAAUUCGGUGAGUUAACUCCAUAAUUCUUGAUUAGGUUGUUAAUUACGUUUAGAGGGUUAGAUUAGUGCUAAUUAGCUUAGUUAAAUUAGUAUUAAGUUAGAUUAGCCUUAAGAUGUAUUAGUGUUAAUAUAUUUUGGUUAGAUUAGUUUUAAGAUGGAUUAAUAUUGAUCUAGUUGGUUGGAUUAGUACUAAUGGGGGUGAUUUAACUUGGUUUAGUGGAUUUCCCCUCGGAUCUGGUUAUUGGACCCUUGCCGUUUGCUAUUUUUGUGGGAAAAAAUGUCCUAAGAUUUUGAGGUUGAUUCCUUCUUGAGAAGUGUUCUAGACAUCUUUAGCUAUGGCAUAUAUUUUACUCAAAAUUUUAGUGAUUUAAAAAAAUGCGAUUUUAGAUUCGUUAUUUGCAAAAUAGAAUCUCAGAUUAUUCAGGAAACAAUGACCUUUUGGUGUUCAAAGAAUUUUUAUCAACUCAUAGGGUUCGAUUUUUAAAAGAGUUUCUUUAAAAAAGUUGUUCAUCAUGUCUUUUAGUUUAACAUAAUCAAAUCUUAGAUAAAACGGACACAUCUUGUACCUCGAACUAAACUAAUUUUGGAAACAGAAUUUCUGGACACGGACACAGUUUUUGUUAUGGUUUGAGGGAUUUACUGCUCUUAAUCUAGAAAUAUUCGGGUCAAGGUGUCUGGGUGAAAAAUGUUCGUUUAAGUGUCAUUUAGAACAUAUUCAAAUUUGAGAAUUUUCUAAGCUUGUUUGAUUAUGUUUCUAGAAUUAAACUUGAAGGCGUGCGAGUGGCCCAGUUUCUAUCGAUUAAGGCCGGUUGUGGUUUUGUAGUUGUUCUUGAUAUCUGGCUUGCUGAUAAAUGAAUAUUUUGUGAUUUGGUUGAUGUUUGGAAUGCUUAGAACUUAUGCGUGAUAAUAUGUGAAUGGUUGUGCUAUGGUGAGUGUUUAUUGGUAAUGCAAAAUAUGACCUUAUGGGCUUUUAAUUAGAAAAGCAAUUAGGUGUCGAGUUGGAUACCAAAACUUAUUUGCUCAUCAAAAUAAUGAGGUUUUAAACUAGGUGCGUGCAAAUUUUGAUGGGUUAAUUUUGAGUACGUGAGUACCUACGAAUUUAUUUCUAAAAGUUAAAAAAUAAAUAAAUAAAGGGUUACUAAAGACUGUCUUCAAAAAGGGGUGUUUGGAAAGAAAAUAGAAAAUAAAUGAGGUGUCGGGUUUGGACGCCAAAUUUUAUGUGUUCAAUAAAACAAGGAGGUUUUAUACUAGAUGCGUGCAAAGUUUGGCGGGUUAAUAUCAAAUACGUGACCUCGUACGAAUUUAUUUUCGAAAGCUUUAAAGAAAAAAAAAAGAGUUGCCAAGUUGAUUUUAAAAAAGGGAUUUUUUGUGUUCUUGGCUAUAUGAUGGCAUUAUGCGUGAUUUUGAUGGUUUCUAUGUAAUACGAUAUACAAUUGAGUGCUUGGUGGUGAUUAUUGGUUAUUAUUGCAAAACCCAAUUUUAUGGGUAUUUAAAUAGAAAAAUACCGGGUGUCGGUUUUUUACGCCAAAAAUAUUUUAUGUACUAUAUAAAACCGUGGAAUUUUGAAAUGGAAGAGUAUCACGUUUUAUGAUUCGAUUGAAUGUGUGACCACGUACAAUUAUUUUACCGAGAAUUUUUAAUAUGAAGAAAAUUGGUCAAGUCCAUUAUUUGAAAUUGAGGCAUUUAAGUGCAAAGCACGAUGUUCUUGACUGAAUGUGGAUGUGCGUGUAGUCACUAUCAGAACCUGUCCUGAUGCGUAUGAAUACGCGGGGCGAUGCCUGAUUAAGUUUGGAUACCCCAAGUCAACGGAUGCUGGUCGCAGUGGAGGCUGGGCUGAUACUCUUUUAUGGAAUAUCAUCUAGAUAUAGACAUUGCCAUGCUCGACGGAGUGAGACGACGCACAAUUAUGCCGGAUGACCACCGAUUGUUGAGUUGGCCGUGGCCGAUGGGUCAUAAUAACGGGAAUAUGCCUGAGUGGUUGUGAUAGCUACGCCUGAUUAUGAGAAAAAAAUUGUGUGGCACGGUAUGGAACGUGUCAUAACAGUUUUACCUUAUAAUCGAGACCCGUGUGAUUGUUUGAGAUAUGAACAUGAUGUGUUCCGGUUAUUAAUUACACUUGUAAUAUGUAUAUUGGUAUAUGUGAUGCACUAAUGUGCAGGGACGCGCCCAAGCAAGGUAAGUUGUGUAUGGUGCAUGCAUAGGACCGCCUUCAAGGCGAAUUUGCGUCCUAACCGGGGUUUAGGGUUUUGACUUGCCGAGAUUUGAUCUCACCCCAUGGGCUAACCUUUUUUCAGGGCCGUAGCAUAGAGAUCUGCUGAGUGCAGAUGUGGUGGGCGCGGGAUGCGACACCUUUUGGUUGGCCCUGCCGUUAGCGAUGUUUAGGGUGACCCUAAUCCCUAAAGGUUGUUGAGAAGGUCAAUAGGAAGUGGCCGUUGAGAGGCUUGCAAUUAAUAAACUUCCUAGGGUCAAUAGUUGGUAAGGAAAUUGUUCCUUGUUUUUACUAUCCCUGUGUUUGUUUAUUGGCCGGGUGUUUAUUUGUUUCGUUUCCGCAUGUGCUUAAUUGAAAGAAAAAAAAUGGGUCGGCG